CGCAACCUAUAUACGCUUUAUGCGCACGCGCCGCGACAAUUCAUCUGUUUUUAUGUUACGCUUUUAUACUACCAAAAAACUAUGUGAUAAAACUUGGCUGUGAUUGUGAGUGAAAGAAGAUACGAAGCGGUCUCAAUGGAGAGUCCAUGCCACCAUUGGACAAAACGUCCUGGAGAGCUUGCAACCCGCGGGAGUGCGACCAACGCUGCCGUAGGCUGAAGUUCCCUAGUGGAGUCUGUGUCAAAAAUAGAUGCAAAUGCGAUCACUUUUAAAAUCCAUUAUAUAACAAAAUAUAAUAUAAAAUAAUUUUGUAUGGCAGUAAGUACAUGCCAAAUGGCAGUGGCGUGCAUUUCAAAGAUAGGUUAUGACUUGGUGGGAGGCUUUGGCCGUGGCUAGUUACCCCCCUGCCGACAAAGACAUACCGCCAAGCGAUUUAGCGUUCCGGUACGAUGUCGUGUAGAAACCGAAAGGGCUGUGGACUUUCAUCAUCCUCCUAACAAGUCAGCCCGCUUCCAUCUAAGAUUGCACCAUCACUUACUAUCAGGUAAGAUUGUAGGGCUAACUUUUAAGGAAUAAUAAAAAUAGACUAUGCUAAUUAGCAAACCUGUGGUCAGUCGCCGCACUGUCAUCGCGCCGUUGACAACGCCGCUGAAAUCUUUUUUAUGUGCCAGUUGUUCACAUCGAAUGUGGUUACGUAAUCUAUCUUCCUCUUUAUUCCUCUAACAUCAUGACUGCUGCAUAUAGUGCCUUUCCUAAUUCUGAACCCUGUAUUUUACUGUCGAACGGCAUAAGAGUUAUUAUUAUUAAGAAAGAUAUAAUAACACUAUUUUAUUUGUUGUAUUUUUUAUCAUAUAUAACUUACAUGAAAAUUUUACUCACCGCUUAUUUACCUACAAAUGUAUUUUUGUAAUAUUUCUAAAUAAAAUUAAUUAAUAGAGA
Bicyclus anynana (squinting bush brown) is the source of this 939-nucleotide long non-coding RNA. RefSeq lists it as uncharacterized. The record is from RefSeq and is a predicted model, not a curated record. The transcript is spliced from 2 exons. Lineage: Eukaryota; Metazoa; Arthropoda; Insecta; Lepidoptera; Nymphalidae.